UGGACUUUGCAGUUCCCUUCGCUUAACACUUAUCAUUCUUUUGGAUCAUUCAGAUCCUGGGAAAUACGUGGAUAGGCAUUAUUACCUUUCUUCUUUACAGGGAGAAAUGCUAAGGUCUAGAUCAAAGUAAUUGGAGUGGUUAAAUAGCAGAAGUUGCAGUGGAGCCAGCUUUUUGACUCUUGAAUUACGUAAACCACACUUUGCUGAUAGGGAGCCUGUAGCCUUUUCCAUGCAUUACAUGUAGUCAUGGCUCUGAGCUGUGUUUGCCCUAGGGGCUUGUGUGCAUAUCACUUGAUCAUGAAGACUCAUCUACGGGGUAUUUGAAUUAACACAUAGAAAAGAGAGCAGAAAGGCAAGGCAUUUCCCUGUUAAAGAUGUGAACCGUGCUGAGGUCUCAGAAUGACUAAUUUCCUUGACUGAGCUCUUACAUAGAGUCCCAAGCCAUUUUGAGGUUUUUCAACACACAAAGAUACUGACACAUGCCAAUUUUAUGAGAUGUUGUCUAUGAAAUCUUUUAUCCACUAAGUUUUUCUGUCCUGGAUGCAUAUAUAUUUUGAGAAAUUUUAAUGGAAUUUAAUAAUGGUUUACUUAAUUCCCAGGGAAACAAGAUCCUUCCAGGUUUCUCAUUAUAGUAAACAUCUGGGGGGGUCUUUCUUUUUUCAUUGGUGCACUUCCUCUGGUACUAUUAAACUGAUGGGAAUUAUGCAUGUGCAUUGACAGGUGCAUAUACUUAAGAUUUCUCAGUCUAGGUGUGUCUUGGAUAAGAUACAGCAAUUAUUAUUAUCCAUGAAUGCCAGGAUGCACAAAAAUACCCUGAGAAGUAAAUAUUUAAUAUUUCACACUCAUUGCCUUUUUUAAAAGUUUUUAAUUUACUGUGAGCAUAACAAGCAAAUUGAACAUUUUCUCUUUCUGCAGUCUUAAAAUUAAACUCUUUUACUUUUGAAUAACAUCUGGUUGGCAAACACAUACCAUCUUAUUUUCUUACGUUGAGUAUGGGGCAUUCCAGCAUAUCUGCAAAGUAGUCAACAUAUAGAUACAGCCUCAAGAAUAUUGAUGAGGAAGAGCCAGAUACACAUACAUAAAUGUGGCAGUUGAGGCUUGCAUUGCACAGGGGUUGCAAGAGACAGAGGGGCCUGCAAUUGAUCACUUGUUACUUACCAGUGACUUCAUAUACCAUCAUG
This is a non-coding RNA of Callithrix jacchus (white-tufted-ear marmoset), 1181 nucleotides long. NCBI's taxonomy places the organism in Eukaryota, Metazoa, Chordata, Mammalia, Primates, Cebidae. The record is from RefSeq and is a predicted model, not a curated record.